This 1046-nucleotide long non-coding RNA is filed under the name Anser brachyrhynchus (Pink-footed goose). Its description in RNAcentral is "lncRNA (ENSABRG00000022914.1)". The record is from RNAcentral. Lineage: Eukaryota; Metazoa; Chordata; Aves; Anseriformes; Anatidae.
UGGCUGUGAUAAGGCAAAGUAGCUCACGUCUCACCCUAGAGAGACCACCAAGUGCUGCAGCGGUGUUAAUGGGUUUCUGAGGGAAUUAUGUCCAAGUCCUCCACUUGUCCAGAAAAAGGUUUUACAAGACAAUGCAAGAAUGGAGGGUAAUUAAUAGGGGAGAUUUAGCUGGAACCCAAAGAGCACUUUCACACAUAAAACUAGAAUCGCUAAGCUGUAUGGUGGGUAGGUAGUGCUAUGUAGUUCAGUGUUAAAAGGGCUUUUCAGACUUUGAGGUGUGAGCAGCCAUUGUCUGACUGUACGAGAAUGAACCUCAGCUCCCUUCUCCUGUGUGACAGGGAGCUGGGGAGCAAUCUCUAAGAGCAUCCAGCCCACCUAACACGGAGAUGGUCCUACUGAGACGUGACAGAUGCUCGCCCCUUGCUGCAGUUAAGUUAGGGAGACUCUAUGAAAGCUGAAGCUUCUGAGUAAAUCAGAGAAAGAAAGAAAAGCCAGAUGUCAGGUGUCCCAACGGCUAAGCAAGGCAAAGACCAGCAGGUAGAGCAGACUCCCUGUUCCCUGCCUCCAAAUGCAGAAGACUUCUGGGAUCAGUUGCUUCAAGCCACAUGAGAGAAUGCACUAGGAGCUUGUUAAGAAAUGCGCUUUUCUACACUUAUUUAGAGCUACCAGCCGAUGUGGCAGAAAGCAAAGGACGUCAGCAAGUCUUAUUAAUAUGCUGAUGCUCCGGCUUCACAAGUGUGCAGAAUGCCCAUUUGGAUCAGGGCUAAGAGCACAGCGUGGCGUCGCCAUGGAAACACGGGGAGGCCAUUAAUUAGCCAUCACACGAAAUGAUCGGGAGGAAUCUGGACCACGGCAGCCUUACCCUCGGAGGAGGAGGCCAAGGGCACAGCCCUGGUGACCUCGUGGCCUCCCCUCCGCAGCUUCAGCCACCGCCACGUCCCGGAGUGACGACUUCGUGCGGGAGGUGUGAAAGGGAAGCCCAAGACAGACAGAGACUUGCCUGCUAUUGCAAAAUCUGCACAGAACUGGGACCUGUGUCUGUCUGA